Small nuclear RNA from Eublepharis macularius, 107 nucleotides. NCBI's taxonomy places the organism in Eukaryota, Metazoa, Chordata, Lepidosauria, Squamata, Eublepharidae. The record is from RefSeq and is a predicted model, not a curated record.
GCGCUUGCUUUGGCAGCACAUAUACUAAAACUGGAACAAUACAGAGAAGAUUAGCAUGGCCCUUGUGCAAGGAUGACAUGCACAUUCUUGGAGCAUUCCAUAUUUUU